This 2707-nucleotide long non-coding RNA is filed under the name Daphnia magna. Its description in RNAcentral is "uncharacterized LOC116929519, transcript variant X5". The record is from RNAcentral. Lineage: Eukaryota; Metazoa; Arthropoda; Branchiopoda; Diplostraca; Daphniidae.
GUGAGAAAAAAAAAAAAGCUGAGAAAAUGGACGUCUGUCGUUCGUCAUCAACUGUUGAAGAUGAUUCUUUCUUUGGUUUCGUGCAUGUCUGUUAGAUCAAAAAGAGAUGUUUAAACACCCUAGAUUUCAAACAUUGGAGGACUUGGAAACACUUUGGGCUGGAAAGAAAGAAACGAAAGAAACGAGAAAAAUGGUGGCAAAAGUCACAAGUCAUUGCUAAUUUCAGCGUCUGACUGCAUGCAUCGGAAGAAAGAACAGCAGCUUUAACCACCCCAACUAAAAGAAAAAACAAAAAAAAAGGGCAAUGCGAAGGUGAGAAAGGUAUAUACUGAUAAAAAUAAAAAGAAUAAAUUUUAACUCGAAAAAAAAAAAAUGGCUCCGGGCUACGGCGCGAACCACCGACAGGUAAACCUCUCUCCCUUGGCGUCCUUUCUCCCCUUCCAUCUUUUGUGUGUGUGUGUGUGUGUGUGUGUGUGUUAAUUCCCCCCUCCACUUCUUUAGGCCUCUUCCAUCUUCGUUUAACCGUGAGGUUGAGUGUGUAUGCGGCGCCAUUUUGAAAAUAAGAAAGAAAAAAGAGAUUCAUGUUCCUAUGGAACGAGCUCGCGCGCGCCCGGCUUUGACCUGACUGAUUUUUUUUCCGUUUGAAAUUUAUUUGAUCUUUCUUUGAGAAAAAAUAGGUGGGGGAUGGUUCGUUUUAAGAAGAGAGAUCAAAUGAGAUUUCGAUGAUUAUAACGCAGACAUCGAUCGUCGCCAACCCUUUUAGCAACAGACACAAACAUUGCAGUCAACACGACACGAGAAAAGUGCAACGCAGAUAAGAUUGCUAUCCAAAAUGGAAUAGGCCUCACAUCUUAAAUAGUUUUGCAUCUUUCAAAAAGGAAAAUGUCCAUCUUUUGAUUUGAUGGAGUGAGCGAGGGGGAGCGUGGCGAUGGGUACGAAAAGUGGGCGGGACCUACACAUUUUUCUUCUUCCUUUCUUGUCCCUUUAGAACAUAGCCGACUGGACCUUGUGUUCCACUUGUUCCAGCAAAACAAAAAGUGGGGUUUUCUUUGUUAGCAAAAGAAGAGGGUGGUGUGUGUGUGCCGUUAUGGCGCAGCAUCCCUCCACCAAACUACCAGUUAACCACUUGAAAAUAAAAAUUAAGUAAAGAAGAACCCCUCAAUCUGAAUGGAUGGAAUGGAAAUAUUCUUCUUCUUCUUCAGAGGUCCAGCCCUUCCAGGGAGAUCGACUUACCUUGACCUUUUGUGUUGGAAGUCGCCAGAGUCAAACAAAAGAAGCAAAAAAGAAAAAAAGGCCCGCCAUUUUCUCGGCUUACCUGUCAAAAAAAGAAAGAGAAAAAAAAACAAAAAACGAUAAGUCAACAGUUUGAAACACUGGAACAAGCAAGAAAAUAAAUCACUUGUGAUUAAAAGAAUAUUGAAAUUUGUCCACAAACAACAACAUCAAACACUUGGACAAAAAACUGCUGUUCAAUCAGGUUCCCCCGCAAUUGAUUACGUUUUGAAGGUGAAAAGUGUGUUCCACAUGCACAUCGUCGUGAUUACACCGCACUUCUUUUAAAACGCGUGCGAAUGACGCCAUAUCCCACCCCCACGUUCGAUGUCGCCAACGGGUUUACGCAUCCAUCAAAGCAGCAGAAGAAUUCGAUCCACCUGGCAGCCAUGGCGCAGAACGGAAAGCCCCAAAUGAUAAACGAAAAUGCGCCACGUUCAUUUCUUGUGAUAUCGUAAAUAUACAAAAGAGAAGGCGACACACGGAACGUUUUCAAAGCCAAGCAGCCCCAAACUGGACGAGAAAAAUGUAAAUCAGCGCAAUUGGGCAUGGCCAUUAAUCCCGAGGAGUUGAGUGCACCAUGUACGGAGCGGCCAAAAAAAAAAUUUCACCUUGCAUUUGCAUGGACUCACACGACGACGUUGAUGACCCAAUCUCGUUGAGAAAAGAAAAGAAAAAUUUUUUUUUUUUUUAAUCUUGUGCUGCGGUGUUUGCCUUUUUGUUUCAUUUGCAUUUUCGUUCCAGCAGCAAGAACACAAAAAAAACAAGACGUGCUCGGAAUGCAUUUGUGCUUCUUCUUUCAAAUGAAGUUGCGUCCCUGUUUCGGUGGGGGCCUUGAUGAAACAAAAAAAAAAACGAGCGGUGCCUGGGCGCUGGUUGGGCUCGCGCCCGCCGACAGCCCAGUGACAUCUCCCCAACUCUUGAAAAAUGUCUUUCAAUGCAAGAGUGGAGGCUUCCAGCAACCGUUUCAGGAUGGAUCGCUUCAUCAACAGACUUUCUUUUUCGAUUCUUUUCUUUCGAUCAUUCUCCGAGACCUGCUCCUUGUUGACCGUUUGUUUCUUCAAAUGCGCGCAACAGGUUUGUUUUGUUUUUUUGUGUGUUUUUUUUUUAUUCCACCCAUUUUUAGUUGGACGUUAUAUUCCAUCAUCCGUCUUGAUUCUUAUAAUUUUUUCACCUCCUCCCCUUUUUCUCCGAGAAAUGGUCAUUUCUCAAAUGUGAUGUCCCUUCCACGAUCUCGUUGACAAGUUCAUCAAAAGAUAAAAAAAAAAAAAGGGAAUGUGGCUUUCCCUCCUCUCUUUUUUGUUGUUGUUUGAUUCAAAUUCUUGUUAUUGGUCCUUGUCUAACCUUUUUUUGUUUUGUUUCUUUUUCAAUAUGCCAAUGAGAAUUGAAAGAAACAAAUAAUCCAAAAACCAAAAUACAAAUAAAAAUGAAUAAA